This 253-nucleotide ribosomal RNA is filed under the name uncultured bacterium. RNAcentral describes it as "partial 16S ribosomal RNA". It matches the Rfam family "Bacterial small subunit ribosomal RNA", at positions 524 to 776 of the family's 1533-position model. The record is from RNAcentral.
UACGAAGGGGGCUAGCGUUGCUCGGAAUCACUGGGCGUAAAGCGCACGUAGGCGGAUCUUUAAGUCAGGGGUGAAAUCCCGGAGCUCAACUCCGGAACUGCCUUUGAUACUGAGGAUCUUGAGUCCGGGAGAGGUGAGUGGAACUGCGAGUGUAGAGGUGAAAUUCGUAGAUAUUCGCAAGAACACCAGUGGCGAAGGCGGCUCACUGGCCCGGUACUGACGCUGAGGUGCGAAAGCGUGGGGAGCAAACAGG